CAGAGUCUUUUCUUUCUCGCGUUCUUCUCUCCCAAACUGAAAACCUAACAAGAGUUCUUCUUCUUCCACCGCUGACCCAAGAGAGAGGAGUCAGCAUUCUCUCCUUCAAGAACUCUUUCAAACCUAACGACCCAGAUUCUGUCUCCACUGUCAAGUGGAUCUCUGUCACUGACCUGUGACUGUUGCUGUGAGAAAAUUGCAGAGAAUGCUAUUAACCUUCCCUAAAGUACUCUUGGUUGCAAGUAGAGCUGCCACUGCUGUUAGAGUUACUAUUGUCAAAGCUAUUCAUAACCAGAUGGAUAGGAAAUAUUGCAAUACAAAUGUCUAAGAGAUUGCCUUUGUUUGAAAGUGUAAUUUUUAGUAUUUUAAUGAUGUCACCCCAAUGAGCAAAAGCUCAUUGGAGAGAGAGAGAGAGAGAGAUUAGGUUAGAGGUUUUGUCAAACACAAUAUAACUUGUUAUUAUCUUUGUUCCUCUUUAUUUUCCCCACAUUAUCAA
This is a long non-coding RNA of Quercus lobata, 496 nucleotides long. RefSeq lists it as uncharacterized. The transcript is spliced from 2 exons. Lineage: Eukaryota; Viridiplantae; Streptophyta; Magnoliopsida; Fagales; Fagaceae. The record is from RefSeq and is a predicted model, not a curated record.